AUUGAACGCUGGCGGCAGGCCUAACACAUGCAAGUCGAACGAGUGGCGGACGGGUGAGUAAUGUCUGGGAACCUGCCCGAUGGAGGGGGAUAACUACUGGAAACAGUGGCUAAUACCGCAUACCAUCGGAUCUGCCCAGAUGGGAUUAGCUAGUAGGUGGGGUAACGGCUCACCUAGGAGACGAUCCUUAGCUGGUCUGAGAGGAUGACCAGCCACACUGGAACUGAGACACGGCCCAGACUCCUACGGGAGGCAGCAGUGGGGAAUAUUGCACAAUGGGCGCAAGCCUGAUGCAGCCAUGCCGCGUGUAUGAAGAAGGCCUUCGGGUUGUAAAGUACUUUCAGCGGGGAGGCGUUACUCACAGAAGAAGCACCGGCUAACUCCGUGCCAGCAGCCGCGGUAAUUC
Molecule: ribosomal RNA, 406 nt
Filed under: uncultured bacterium
Lineage: Bacteria
Description: partial 16S ribosomal RNA
Rfam family: Bacterial small subunit ribosomal RNA
Source: RNAcentral